UGUUGACUAAGUCAUCCCUUCAGCACAUGGU
This 31-nucleotide non-coding RNA is filed under the name Rattus norvegicus (Norway rat). The record is from RNAcentral. Lineage: Eukaryota; Metazoa; Chordata; Mammalia; Rodentia; Muridae.